GACGAACGCUGGCGGCGUGCUUAACACAUGCAAGUCGAACGGAAAGGCCCUGCUCUUGUGGGGUGCUCGAUUGGCGAACGGGUGAGUAACACGUGUGUAACCUGCCCUUGUCUUUGGGAUAACAUCAGGAAACUGGGGCUAAUAUAGGAUAGAAGAUCCUGAUCCAUGGUGGGGGUUGGAAAGUUGCGGCGGUUGGGGAUGGACUCGCGGCUUAUCCGCUUGUUUGUGGGGUAGUGGCUUACCAAGGCUUUGACGGGUAGCCGGCCUGAGAGGGUGACCGGCCACAUUGGGACUGAGAUACGGCCCAGACUCCUACGGGAGGCAGCAGGGGGGAAUAUUGCACAAUGGGCGGAAGCCUGAUGCAGCAACGCCGCGUGCGGGAUGACGGCCUUCGGGUUGUAAACCGCUUUCGCCUGUGACGAAGCGUGAGUGACGGUAAUGGGUAAAGAAGCACCGGCUAACUACGUG
RNAcentral lists this ribosomal RNA (468 nucleotides) under uncultured bacterium. Its description in RNAcentral is "partial 16S ribosomal RNA". It matches the Rfam family "Bacterial small subunit ribosomal RNA", at positions 28 to 507 of the family's 1533-position model. The record is from RNAcentral.